This 440-nucleotide ribosomal RNA is filed under the name uncultured bacterium. RNAcentral's name for it is "bacterial SSU rRNA". It matches the Rfam family "Bacterial small subunit ribosomal RNA", at positions 958 to 1398 of the family's 1533-position model. The record is from RNAcentral.
AACGCGAAGAACCUUACCUGGGCUUGAACCGCGCAGGACCAGCGGUGGAAACAUCGCCUUCUCGCAAGAGACCUGCGUAGAGGUGCUGCAUGGCUGUCGUCAGCUCGUGCCGUGAGGUGUUGGGUUAAGUCCCGCAACGAGCGCAACCCUUACUCUUAGUUGCCACCCGCAAGGGGGAACUCUAAGAGGACUGCUCCGGAUAACGGAGAGGAAGGUGGGGAUGAGGUCAAGUCAGCAUGGCCUUUAUGUCCAGGGCUACACACGUGUUACAAUGCGCGCUACAAAGUGUCGCGAACCCGCGAGGGGGAGCUAAUCGCAAAAAAGCGCGCUCAGUUCGGAUUGCAGUCUGCAACUCGACUGCAUGAAGCUGGAAUCGCUAGUAAUGGCGCAUCAGAACGGCGCCGUGAAUACGUUCCCGGGCCUUGUACACACCGGAGUGC